GAUGAACGCUGGCGGCGUGCCUAAUACAUGCAAGUCGAGCGAACAAAUGAGGAGCUUGCUCCUCUGACGUUAGCGGCGGACGGGUGAGUAACACGUGGAUAACCUACCUAUAAGACUGGGAUAACUUCGGGAAACCGGAGCUAAUACCGGAUAAUAUAUUGAACCGCAUGGUUCAAUAGUGAAAGACGGUUUUGCUGUCACUUAUAGAUGGAUCCGCGCCGCAUUAGCUAGUUGGUAAGGUAACGGCUUACCAAGGCAACGAUGCGUAGCCGACCUGAGAGGGUGAUCGGCCACACUGGAACUGAGACACGGUCCAGACUCCUACGGGAGGCAGCAGUAGGGAAUCUUCCGCAAUGGGCGAAAGCUUGACGGAGCAACGCCGCGUGAGUGAUGAAGGUCUUCGGAUCGUAAAACUCUGUUAUUAGGGAAGAACAAAUGUGUAAGUAACUAUGCACGUCUUGACGGUACCUAAUCAGAAAGCCACGGCUAACUACGUG
RNAcentral lists this ribosomal RNA (497 nucleotides) under uncultured bacterium. RNAcentral describes it as "partial 16S ribosomal RNA". It matches the Rfam family "Bacterial small subunit ribosomal RNA", at positions 28 to 507 of the family's 1533-position model. The record is from RNAcentral.